CCUUCCAGACUCUGUAUACGAAGCAAAGCGAAGAACCCGCGAGAGUGGAAGAGCUCCGGAGAACAUCUACGCUGUGUGUCGAUGCACCUUACAAGAGAAUAAGACCAGCAUCAAGGCAACUGCAAUGAAGCAUCAAGAAAGACAUGAGCAGGCCAGCCACCCUGAGACUGAUAAUUCAUGAGAAGACUUUUCUGUCAAAGUGGAUGGUGAGCAAAAAUGGUGGCCACGUUUUGGAGAAGCACCUGGGUUUUGCAGAUGGCUAUGUAUUCUUUGGCUGCUUGUCUUUUUUCCCCCAUUAUGUUUCUGUUGCCUAAAGAUUCUUUGUGAGGAUGAAU
Molecule: long non-coding RNA, 335 nt
Organism: Onychostoma macrolepis
Lineage: Eukaryota; Metazoa; Chordata; Actinopteri; Cypriniformes; Cyprinidae
Exons: 3
Source: RefSeq, a predicted model, not a curated record